RNAcentral lists this long non-coding RNA (306 nucleotides) under Citrus sinensis (sweet orange). RNAcentral's name for it is "long non-coding RNA (CSIN_LNC001604)". The record is from RNAcentral. Lineage: Eukaryota; Viridiplantae; Streptophyta; Magnoliopsida; Sapindales; Rutaceae.
GUUUUCGUCAGUCGAUUUACAUGGUUUUUUUUUUUUUUUGUUGGUUGAAUUUCUCAGGUUUUAAUUUGCUUUAACGGAAUAAUAGUAUAGAAUAUUUUUCAGGAUUAAGCUCAUCGUGAUGGCUGAUGAACAAUUGUUGCCAACUUGUAUGAGUUGAUCCUCAAUAUGAUAGUGUCUGUCAAAGAGAUCUAUUUUAUGGCUAUGCUUUGGUAAUUUGGUUAAUGAAAAACUAAUGUAUCCCACAUCGAAGCGAUACAAAAAAGCAGCCAUGACAAAAGAUAUAAAUAAUGAGCGCCAAGCAACUGA